UGGGGAAUAUUGGACAAUGGGCGCAAGCCUGAUCCAGCCAUGCCGCGUGUGUGAAGAAGGCCUUCGGGUUGUAAAGCACUUUUGUCCGGAAAGAAAGCGAAUCGGCGAAUACCCGGUUUGGAUGACGGUACCGGAAGAAUAAGCACCGGCUAACUUCGUGCCAGCAGCCGCGGUAAUACGAAGGGAGCUAGCGUUGUUCGGAAUUACUGGGCGUAAAGGGCGCGUAGGCGGUUUUGUAAGUCAGAUGUGAAAGCCCCGGGCUUAACCUGGGAAAUGCAUUUGAGACUGCAAGACUAGAGAUCGAGAGAGGAAAGUGGAAUUACGAGUGUAGAAGUGAAAUUCGUAGAUAUUCGUAGGAACACCGGUGGCGAAGGCGACUUUCUGGCUCGACCCUGACGCUAAAGCGCGAAAGCGCGGGGAGCAAACA
This 427-nucleotide ribosomal RNA is filed under the name uncultured bacterium. RNAcentral describes it as "bacterial SSU rRNA". It matches the Rfam family "Bacterial small subunit ribosomal RNA", at positions 355 to 774 of the family's 1533-position model. The record is from RNAcentral.